UACGGGGGGGAGCAAGGCGUUGUUCGGAUUUACUGGGCGUAAAGGGCGCGUAGGCGGCCAGCACAAGUCAGUUGUGAAAUCUCCGAGCUUAACUCGGAAAGGUCAACUGAUACUGUGCGGCUAGAGUGCGGAAGGGGCAACUGGAAUUCUUGGUGUAGCGGUGAAAUGCGUAGAUAUCAAGAGGAACACCUGCGGCGAAGGCGGGUUGCUGGGCCGACACUGACGCUGAUGCGCGAAAGCUAGGGGAGCGAACGGG
Molecule: ribosomal RNA, 256 nt
Filed under: uncultured bacterium
Lineage: Bacteria
Description: partial 16S ribosomal RNA
Rfam family: Bacterial small subunit ribosomal RNA
Source: RNAcentral